This is a non-coding RNA of Podarcis lilfordi (Lilford's wall lizard), 151 nucleotides long. The record is from the annotation of a GenBank genome assembly. Lineage: Eukaryota; Metazoa; Chordata; Lepidosauria; Squamata; Lacertidae.
UGAAUAUGAUACCACCUAGCUAGCAAAAUAUUUUGAUUUCUUUUGAGUGGAUACUUACAGUAUAAUCUCAUCUUGCGCACAUCUAGGAAACACUUAGGCAUUUAUUUGUGUGUGUGUGUGUGUGUGUGUGUGUGUGUGGAGCUCAAUGCAA